Molecule: unclassified non-coding RNA, 300 nt
Filed under: uncultured Penicillium
Lineage: Eukaryota; Fungi; Ascomycota; Eurotiomycetes; Eurotiales; Aspergillaceae
Description: sequence contains 5.8S rRNA gene, ITS2
Rfam family: 5.8S ribosomal RNA (bases 1-75)
Source: RNAcentral
ACAGGUGAGUCAUCGAAUCUUUGAACGCACAUUGCGCCCCUUGGUAUUCCGGGGGGCAUGCCUGUCCGAGCGUCAUUGCUGCCCUCAAGCACGGCUUGUGUGUUGGGCCCCGUCCUCCUUCCCGGGGGACGGGCCCGAAAGGCAGCGGCGGCACCGCGUCCGGUCCUCGAGCGUAUGGGGCUUCGUCUUCCGCUCUUGUAGGCCCGGCCGGCGCUUGCCGACAACAAUCAAUCUUUUUUCAGGUUGACCUCGGAUCAGGUAGGGAUACCCGCUGAACUUAAGCAUAUCAAUAAGCGGAGG